Molecule: ribosomal RNA, 420 nt
Filed under: uncultured bacterium
Lineage: Bacteria
Description: bacterial SSU rRNA
Rfam family: Bacterial small subunit ribosomal RNA
Source: RNAcentral
GAGGAAUAUUGGUCAAUGGGCGCGAGCCUGAACCAGCCAAGUAGCGUGAAGGAUGACUGCCCUAUGGGUUGUAAACUUCUUUUAUAAAGGAAUAAAGUGGUCCACGUGUGGAUUUUUGUAUGUACUUUAUGAAUAAGGAUCGGCUAACUCCGUGCCAGCAGCCGCGGUAAUACGGAGGAUCCAAGCGUUAUCCGGAUUUAUUGGGUUUAAAGGGAGCGUAGAUGGAUGUUUAAGUCAGUUGUGAAAGUUCGGGGCUCAACCCCGGAAUUGCAGUUGAUACUGGAUAUCUUGAGUACAGUUGAGGUAGGCGGAAUUCGUGGUGUAGCGGUGAAAUGCUUAGAUAUCACGAAGAACUCCGAUUGCGAAGGCAGCUUACUAAGCUGUAACUGACAUUGAGGCUCGAAAGUGUGGGUAUCAAAC